GCUGGGCUCAGUGACGAAUGCCUGCAGUCCCAGCUACUCAGGAGACUGAGGUGGAAGGGCCACUUGAGUCCAAGAGUUCUGGGCUGUAGUGCAGUAGGCCAACUGGGUGACUACAGUACGUUUGGUGUCAAUAAGGUGACCUCCCGGGGAGCGGGGAAUCACCAGUUGCCUAUGGAGAGGUAAACUGGCCCAUGUCAGAAACAGAGCAGGUCAAAACUCUUGUGCUGAUUAGUAGGGGGAUCGCACCUGUGAAUAGCCACUGCGUUCCAGCCUGGGCAACAUACAGGGACCCAUGUC
RNAcentral lists this signal recognition particle RNA (297 nucleotides) under Saimiri boliviensis boliviensis (Bolivian squirrel monkey). RNAcentral's name for it is "Metazoan signal recognition particle RNA (ENSSBOG00000012899.1)". It matches the Rfam family "Metazoan signal recognition particle RNA". From Rfam's summary of the family: The signal recognition particle (SRP) is a universally conserved ribonucleoprotein. It is involved in the co-translational targeting of proteins to membranes. Lineage: Eukaryota; Metazoa; Chordata; Mammalia; Primates; Cebidae. The record is from RNAcentral.